This is a long non-coding RNA of Sinocyclocheilus rhinocerous, 513 nucleotides long. RefSeq lists it as uncharacterized. The transcript is spliced from 4 exons. The record is from RefSeq and is a predicted model, not a curated record. NCBI's taxonomy places the organism in Eukaryota, Metazoa, Chordata, Actinopteri, Cypriniformes, Cyprinidae.
AAGGUUCACAAUAUCAGCACAGAUGUCAGAGCUGCAUGAUGUUUCCUCUUUUUGGCUCAACACGAGAUACAAAACAAAGGCAGAAUUUAAGAAAAAUAUGACAUGGGAGAGCAUAUAUGGAGCAGCACAAACUGCAGGAUAAUUAAACCGAUGGGAGAGAAAGAGAAAUAUGGCGAACAAAAAGGACAAAACGUUACAAUCUAAAGAACCAAAGACAAUGAGUCUAUUCAGACAAAACAGCAUUAAUAGUGGCAAACCAAACUUUUCUCAUGUUGCACAGAUUCCUUCUGGUGUUUCAGAGCGAGUCACAGACGAGAAAGCAGUGGUUCUGUUCAUCUAACCUGCAGAAUAUUCUCCAUCAUGUUCAGCCACGGAUUAAACAAUGUAUAGAGGAAUAUGUAUAAAUGGGUAUUAUAUUUAUAAAGUACAUGUUUGGAUUUCAUGAGUACACUACAUGUUGUUCUGAAUGAAUAUGAUCUGAAUGUGACAUUUAAAGUAAUCAUUGAUGUAAUC